This 253-nucleotide ribosomal RNA is filed under the name uncultured bacterium. RNAcentral's name for it is "partial 16S ribosomal RNA". It matches the Rfam family "Bacterial small subunit ribosomal RNA", at positions 524 to 776 of the family's 1533-position model. The record is from RNAcentral.
UACGGGGGGGGCAAGCGUUGUUCGGAAUUACUGGGCGUAAAGGGCGCGUAGGCGGCCUGUUAAGUCGAACGUGAAAUCCCCGGGCUCAACCCGGGAACUGCGUCCGAUACUGGCAGGCUUGAAUUCGGGAGAGGGAUGUGGAAUUCCAGGUGUAGCGGUGAAAUGCGUAGAUAUCUGGAGGAACACCGGUGGCGAAGGCGGCAUCCUGGACCGAUAUUGACGCUGAUGCGCGAAAGCCAGGGGAGCAAACGGG